Molecule: long non-coding RNA, 1104 nt
Organism: Culex pipiens pallens (northern house mosquito)
Lineage: Eukaryota; Metazoa; Arthropoda; Insecta; Diptera; Culicidae
Exons: 2
Source: RefSeq, a predicted model, not a curated record
AAAAAAAAUCGAUGCAAAUAUAAGUCAGCAGCCAUACUGCCCGACUUUUCAAAAGCGAACUUUACAGCACUGUUCACGUGCAUACGGGGAUCGCUCGUCGAUCGCCAACUGAAAUACGCAAAUGGACGAAAGGUCAAAGCGUUCAACCAUCAACAGUCGAUCAACUAAAUAUUGUGAUUUUUUUUCACCCAAGCUCGGUCGAACCUUCUUCGUACUCCUCGGUGUAGGUACUGUUUUUGUUGUCAAUUGACGUAAAUGAGCCUGCUACACACCUUUGGAGGCAAUCGUUUAUUCAACUGUUUGUAGAAUGUAUUUAAGUUUGCACUUUCAAUCGAGCGUGGAGUCCGGAUUUCUUCUACGUUUGCACUUUGAUUCUGGGGUUAUUCUAUACUUAAAUUUUAAAUGUUUUUGAUCUGUAGCCUAAUCUUAAGCGUGUCUUCACUUUCCACUUGUUUAUAUAUGUCAGCAGUCAUCAGCUGCGUGGUCCAUAUACAAAAAUCACAUGACUUUGUAAUCAAUACUGCGCGCCCCCGGUUUGCAGUUGACCCCUCGGCAACCUUGAGUCGUCCGGAGCGAUCUGACUUUUCGCGGGCCCUUAUCGCGGAUUAUUCAACAUCGUCGAGCUUCCCUUGAUCUUGCUAUAGGUGAACUGUUUUGUGUAAGCGUUUUUUUUUUCGUUUGGCAUGUUAUAUAUAUUUCAAAGUGCUCCACUAUCAGUGAACGGUACAUAGAUCACACGUUCUUACGUAUUUACGAUGGGGGUUGGACGGUCGGUCCCAGAAAGUUGCACUUUCAGUUCUGACUCGGUCACGAUCGGGAACGAAGGCUUUCCCUUGCUGGGGUUUAAUUUGGUCGCAUUUUGGAUUAUUCAAUGAACUGGUCUCAUUACCAGUUGAACCGACGCUGGUGAGGUUCCGUCGCGAUUCGGAAUUCCGUUAAUACACAUUUUGUGGAAUUUGUGGUGUUGCUGUAGAGUGCGAGGUUGAACGAGGACGAGGUCCAAGAUGUUUUUCAAAAUCAGUGCCUAAACGCCAAAAGCAACCCAAAUGAUAUACCUGAUGCUCACUGGUGUAGUGUUGUUCGCUUACAUAUUCCUGCAAAAUU